Molecule: ribosomal RNA, 497 nt
Filed under: uncultured bacterium
Lineage: Bacteria
Description: partial 16S ribosomal RNA
Rfam family: Bacterial small subunit ribosomal RNA
Source: RNAcentral
GAUGAACGCUGGCGGCGUGCCUAAUACAUGCAAGUCGAGCGAACGGACGAGAAACUUGCUUCUCUGAUGUUAGCGGCGGACGGGUGAGUAACACGUGGAUAACCUACCUAUAAGACUGGGAUAACUUCGGGAAACCGGAGCUAAUACCGGAUAAUAUUUUGAACCGCAUGGUUCAAAAGUGAAAGACGGUCUUGCUGUCACUUAUAGAUGGAUCCGCGCUGCAUUAGCUAGUUGGUAAGGUAACGGCUUACCAAGGCAACGAUGCAUAGCCGACCUGAGAGGGUGGUCGGCCACACUAGAACUGAGACACGGUCCAGACGCCUACGGGAGGCAGCAGUAGGGAAUCUUCCGCAAUGGGCGAAAGCCUGACGGAGCAACGCCGCGUGAGUGAUGAAGGUCUUCGGAUCGUAAAACUCUGUUAUUAGGGAAGAACAUAUGUGUAAGUAACUGUGCACAUCUUGACGGUACCUAAUCAGAAAGCCACGGCUAACUACGUG